GUGAAUCAUCGAAUUUUUGAACGCAAAUUGCGCUUCCUGGCAUCCCGGGAAGUAUGCCUGUUUAAGGGUCAGUAUUAACCAAAAAUCGGUUUGGUUGCAAAGUGUUACGUUUUCGGGGUUUGGGCUAUCUUAACUUUUUGGUUAAGGGGCUUAAAAUUGACCUUAUUUGCGCAUUUUUAGACGUACAUAAAUUUUUUUUUUUAUUCGUCUAUUCUUAAUGCCACAGUCUUAUU
This 233-nucleotide unclassified non-coding RNA is filed under the name Glomeraceae sp. RNAcentral's name for it is "partial contains 5.8S ribosomal RNA and internal transcribed spacer 2". The stretch from base 1 to 71 matches the Rfam family "5.8S ribosomal RNA", at positions 84 to 154 of the family's 154-position model. The record is from RNAcentral. Lineage: Eukaryota; Fungi; Glomeromycota; Glomeromycetes; Glomerales; Glomeraceae.